UACGUAGGUGGCGAGCGUUGUCCGGAUUUACUGGCGUAAAGAGCGCGCAGGCGGUCGUACAAGUCGCGUGUGAAAGCCCCCGGCUCAACUGGGGAGGGUCACGCGAUGACUGUUCGACUCGAAGGCAGGAGAGGGAAGUGGAAUUCCCGGUGUGAGUGGUGGAAAUGCGUAGAUAUCGGGAGGAACACCAGUGGCGAAGGCGACUUCCUGGCCUGUUCUUGACGCUGAGGCGCGAAAGCUAGGGUAGCAAACGGGG
This 256-nucleotide ribosomal RNA is filed under the name uncultured bacterium. Its description in RNAcentral is "partial 16S ribosomal RNA". It matches the Rfam family "Bacterial small subunit ribosomal RNA", at positions 524 to 777 of the family's 1533-position model. The record is from RNAcentral.